Leucoraja erinaceus (little skate) is the source of this 557-nucleotide long non-coding RNA. RefSeq lists it as uncharacterized. The transcript is spliced from 2 exons. The record is from RefSeq and is a predicted model, not a curated record. NCBI's taxonomy places the organism in Eukaryota, Metazoa, Chordata, Chondrichthyes, Rajiformes, Rajidae.
UGGUCGGUGGCGGCCGGCAGGAAGCAGUGCACAUCCACACGUGGGGCCGGUCGGAGGAUGCUGUUCCUUCUCUGCACGUGGGAGCCUGGGGCUGGAGACUCAGCUCCACCUCACUCAUCCUGUCUUCACUACUCGGAUGAAAUGCAUAAAACCGCAUACAACGCACUCGGCAGAAAAGGAAAGAUGGGUCAUUUUCAUUUGAUUCAUAACACUCAUCUUGACUAGGGUUGUCAACUUUCUCACUCCCAAAUAACGGACAAAACGAUGCGACCUGCAGGCUGAGCUCUUAAAGGACUUUGAAGAUGCUGGAAUCUUGAGCAAAACACAGUCUCUUGUGUACAACUUGAUCGACUGCCAGUCAUUCAAGUAUCCAUCAUCAAGUUCAAGAGAGUUUAUUGUCAUGUGUCCCUGAUAGGACAAUGAAAUUCUUGCAUUGCUUCAGCACAACAGAACAUAGUAGGCAUGAAUACAGAACAGAUCAGUGUGUCCAUAUACCAUUGUAUAAAUAUAUACACACAUGAAUAAAUAAACUGAUAAAAGUGCAAAUAAACAGAUAA